UUGCAGUUAAAAAGCUCGUAGUUGGAUUUCUGGGAGGGUGCCGCCGUCCGGCGUGUCCGUGUGCAGUGGCGCCCUUCCAUCCUUCUGUUAGCGUCUCUUGGCAUUCAUUUGCUGGUGGCGGGCUCAGAUAUUUUACCUUGAGAAAAUUAGAGUGUUUCAGGCAGGCUAGGCCGGAAUACAUUAGCAUGGAAUAAUGGAAUAGGACUACGGUCUCUUUGUUGGUUUGAGGGACUGCAGUAAUGAUUAAUAGGGAUAGUUGGGGGCAUUAGUAUUUAAUUGUCAGAGGUGGAAUUCUCAGAUUUGUUAAAGACUAACUUAUGCGAAAGCAUUUGCCAAGGAUGUUUUCAUUAAUCAAGAACGAAAGUUAGGGGAUCAAAGACGAUCAGAUACCGUCCUAGUCUUAACCAUAAACUAUGCCGACUCGGGAUCGGGGGCGUGUUCUAUCCGCCUUCGGCACCGUAUGAGAAAUCAAAAGUCUUUGGGUUCUGGGGGGAGUAUGGUCGUAAGGCUGAAACUUAAAGGAAUUGACGGAAGGGCACCACCAGGCGUGGAGCUUGCGGCUC
Molecule: ribosomal RNA, 563 nt
Filed under: uncultured marine eukaryote
Lineage: Eukaryota
Description: SSU rRNA
Rfam family: Eukaryotic small subunit ribosomal RNA
Source: RNAcentral